CUGACGGCGACGCCUCUCGCUAUAUAUAUGCACACCAUUAGUUGUUUCAAAGCCAUUACAAUUGCAGCCUUCAUCACAGGUUUGUUAAUUUUCAAUAUUUCUUCCAAACCCUUUUUCAGUGCCAUGGCUAUGGCAUCGUUAGCAAUGUUUUAUUCAGUAUUAUGCGUCGAUUACUGAUUGCCGGCGCUCUUCGAUUGAAAUUGGGCGUUGCGCAUGAGCCGACGCCAGAUCUGCAUAGAUCCGGUCCUGUUUUUGAAACGUGAGAUUCCUUUGCAUGGAACUUCAGUCUGGACAGGACAGCAAAGUUGUGAUUGGAGCUACAAUUAAUUGAGAUGUUACUAUCAUCAGAGAUGAAGCUUUUUCAUUUUGGGAA
Molecule: long non-coding RNA, 373 nt
Organism: Andrographis paniculata
Lineage: Eukaryota; Viridiplantae; Streptophyta; Magnoliopsida; Lamiales; Acanthaceae
Exons: 2
Source: RefSeq, a predicted model, not a curated record